Molecule: long non-coding RNA, 308 nt
Filed under: Homo sapiens (human)
Lineage: Eukaryota; Metazoa; Chordata; Mammalia; Primates; Hominidae
Description: non-protein coding lnc-LDLRAD2-1:1
Source: RNAcentral
CUUUGAUCUCCACAAGCUCUUAUCAUAACCCAGACUAUCCUUUCUAUUGAUAAUAACUCUUUCAACCAGUUGCCAAUCAGAAACAUUUAAAAUUUACCUAUAACCUGGAAGCACCCCCUGCACCCUCCCUCACUUCUAGAUGUCCUGCCUUUCUGGACUGAACCGAUGUAUAUCUUAAAUGUAUUUGAUCGAUGUCUCAUGUCUCCCUAAAAAUGUAUGAAACCAAGCUGCACCCCGACCACCUUGGCUACAUGUUCUCAGGAGCUCCUGAGGGUCGGUGUCACAGGCUGUGGUCACUCAUAUUUGGC